Molecule: long non-coding RNA, 783 nt
Filed under: Pan troglodytes (chimpanzee)
Lineage: Eukaryota; Metazoa; Chordata; Mammalia; Primates; Hominidae
Description: lincRNA
Source: RNAcentral
ACACGCGGCGCCCCAUUAAAGCGGCCGUCCCGGGCGCGCGCCUCAUUCGAGGCGACGGGCUCCGGGCCCUGAUAGAUGGGGUGCGGGGACGGAGACAAAUGACGGCCUUUGGGCUCGGAAUACCCACCUUUCUGGUAAUGCAGCCCAGCGGGUCCCAGCCUCGUUUUCCAGCCCUCACUCAAAAUGGAGUCGCUUUGGUUCGAACGCCUCUGACAAGUGUGUACCUACGUGUCAGGCCCGUCCUUCCUGCAGGCCUUUGUCUUGGUGUCACCCUGCCUGAGCUGGCCCCAACCACAGUAGCGACAGUGAUGCUGAUGUGUGACUGCUGCCCGGAGCCUGCUCACAUGACUGUGUGGAGAAAGUUCUUUCCCUGAGGACCAUCUGGAGUGGACGCGUGCACUACCCCUCUCUGAAUACACCCUCCCCACGAGGCCCUCUGGAGCAUCCUGUAGAGCCAGCUCUUACCCAGAGACCCUGAGCCCAGAGAAUGUGCUGGGUGGUGAGCCUGGGGACGAAUGCAGAGCCCUAGAUCUCCUCUCCAGAAAGACCGGAUUUUGCCAUGUUGGCCAGGCUGGUCUUGAACUCCUGACCUCAAGUGAUCCACCUGCCUCGGCCUCCCAAAGUGCAGGGAUUACAGGUGUGAGCCACCGCACCCGGCCUCAGGCAGGUAUUUUUACCAGCCGAAUACUCUUGCACUGUGCACUCUUCACGUUCAUCAUCAGUCCCCCAGAUGGGUGUUUAAGGCAUUUCCAAAGCUCUGUUAUUAAAAACACGAUGCAAUGA